Molecule: unclassified non-coding RNA, 334 nt
Filed under: soil metagenome
Description: partial contains 5.8S ribosomal RNA, internal transcribed spacer 2, and large subunit ribosomal RNA
Rfam family: 5.8S ribosomal RNA (bases 1-121)
Source: RNAcentral
GAUGAAGAACGUAGCGAAAUGCGAUAAGUAAUGCGAAUUGCAGAAUUUCCGUGAAUCAUCGAAUCUUUGAACGCACAUUGCGCCCGCCAGUAUUCUGGCGGGCAUGCCUGUUCGAGCGUCAUUUCAACCCUCAAGCUCAGCUUGGUGUUGGGACUCGCGGUAACCCGCGUUCCCCAAAUCGAUUGGCGGUCACGUCGAGCUUCCAUAGCGUAGUAAUCAUACACCUCGUUACUGGUAAUCGUCGCGGCCACGCCGUAAAACCCCAACUUCUGAAUGUUGACCUCGGAUCAGGUAGGAAUACCCGCUGAACUUAAGCAUAUCAAUAAGCGGAGGA